RNAcentral lists this long non-coding RNA (1927 nucleotides) under Nicotiana benthamiana. RNAcentral describes it as "long non-coding RNA (NBEN_LNC002802)". The record is from RNAcentral. Lineage: Eukaryota; Viridiplantae; Streptophyta; Magnoliopsida; Solanales; Solanaceae.
UUGGGUUUGUUAAAUCCAAAUCUGACUCAUCUUUGUUUAUCCUUCACAUUGUAGAGGUUACUGUCUACAUUCUCAUAUAUGUUGAUGACAUAAUUAUUGCGAGUAGCAUUGAAAGAACUGUCAAGUCCAUCAUUGAUACUCUUUCUCAACGAUUCUCUCUAAAAGAUCUUGGGUUAUUGCAUUAUUUUUUGGGUGUUGAAGUAAUAUCAACGCCAAUUGCCAUAUAUUUAUCUUAACACAAAUAUGUCAUGGAUCUUCCGGAUGAAUUGCACAUGGCUGAAUGCAAGGGUGUCCCGGCACCGAUGACAUCAACCUGCUCCUUCGUUGAUUCUGAAGCCGAUUCUGUUGUUGACAUUUCACUUUACAGAAGAUUCAUUGGUAAGCUUCACUGCCUAUCCCUCACUAGGCCUGACAUCAGGUUUGUUGUUAGCAAGUUGUCUCAGUUUAUGCCUUAUCCAAAAGUGUCUCACUGGAAAGCUAUCAAAUGGUUGUUGCGCUACCUGAAACACACCAGCACAAUGGGAGUUAAGCUAUGUCGACAACUAACAGAUCGUUUACUUGCUUAUUCUGACUCUGAUUGGGUUGGAAAUCCACAGGACAGAACAUCAACAACGGGUUAUGUUGUCUACCAUGGAACUCACCGAUCUAUUGGUCUUCCAAAAAGCAAAGGUCUGUUUUACGCUCAUCCACGAAAGCUGAGUAUCGAGUUGUUGCUAUUGUUGUUUAUGAAGUUAAUUGGCUCACGGAUUUGCUCCAUGAGCUUCAUAGUCCUCUGUGACAACGUUAGUACAACCUACAUUUGUGCUAAUCCAGUUCUGCGCAAUUUUCACAAGUUGGGGCUUGUUCUAGUCACCCCCAACUUGCGGGGGCAUAUUAAAGGAUAACAAUUGAUAUCCUUCCGUUUAGGAGUUUGUUAUUAGCUUCCUAUUUUCCAGGUUUAGGAUUUUGUUAUUUUCCUGUAGUGUAUCCUACUGCACAGUAUCUUAUCAUAUCAUUUGUUCCCCCUUUAACGUAUUUCCAUUUGUAUCUGCUCUACAUAAAGAGACUGUUGUUCAUGAAUAAAAUUAUCUUUUCGUUGGUGCAUUUUAAAACUUCAUACUUCUAAGAGGCCAACACAGUAGAAGUUCCCAAAAUUCUCCUUUUAGUUUUGGAAAAACUUUUCCGUCCUACAAUUAAGACUAUUACACCACUUAACUUAGAAUGAAAUAAGCACUCAAUCAAAUGAGUUCAAAUCAUGUCGGAAAGCCAAGAGAUUAUGCUCCUCAAUAACUCAAUAUUCUUGACACUAUCAUCUUUUUUCUUGAGGAUAUAGAGGAUUUACCAUAAGUGGUAGGAGCCCGAAAUUCGUACAAGGGGGAUUCAUAAAAAUGAGUAUUGAAGUGUCACACCUAAGAUUUGAACUUGUGAGCCAAGGCAAUUUUUGAAACCCCUUUACUCCAGUGUCAAGAAGAUUUACAGUUCAUAUAUAACCAAUUUUUUUUGUUUUUUUAACUAUUUACUCGUUGCUAUUUUCGAGGAUGGGGAUUCACCUUGGCUCCCUUUAGCUCCGCCACUAUACAUAGCCAACCCCAGCUAGUUUGGGACCGAAGCCUAGUUGAUUGACUGACUGAUAACCUAUUAUCUUGACUUCCCCACUUUAAACAACUUGUCCAUCACAUAAGCUAACAUGCCAUUUCAAUUGCUAAUUUAUGGGAGAGCAUUUUUGGAAAUUGGAAGAAAAAUUCCAAACAUUGCCAAGAAUAUACUAAACUAAUAUACUUUGUCCAAAAAUUUCGAUAAAUCAAGCAACCCCAUAUGAUGCUAUAAAAACAGUAUUAGAAACAAAACCUGAAAGAACAUGAAGAGCAAAAAUCAAUGCUGACGGUGUUACCAAUACCAACUGCACCAAUACCACCAGUUUUCUGCAAAGUCAAACACAAAAAAAAAA